This 1625-nucleotide ribosomal RNA is filed under the name Escherichia coli. RNAcentral's name for it is "partial 23S ribosomal RNA". It matches the Rfam family "Bacterial large subunit ribosomal RNA", at positions 84 to 1751 of the family's 2925-position model. Lineage: Bacteria; Pseudomonadati; Pseudomonadota; Gammaproteobacteria; Enterobacterales; Enterobacteriaceae. The record is from RNAcentral.
AGGUGAUAUGAACCGUUAUAACCGGCGAUUUCCGAAUGGGGAAACCCAGUGUGUUUCGACACACUAUCAUUAACUGAAUCCAUAGGUUAAUGAGGCGAACCGGGGGAACUGAAACAUCUAAGUACCCCGAGGAAAAGAAAUCAACCGAGAUUCCCCCAGUAGCGGCGAGCGAACGGGGAGCAGCCCAGAGCCUGAAUCAGUGUGUGUGUUAGUGGAAGCGUCUGGAAAGGCGCGCGAUACAGGGUGACAGCCCCGUACACAAAAAUGCACAUGCUGUGAGCUCGAUGAGUAGGGCGGGACACGUGGUAUCCUGUCUGAAUAUGGGGGGACCAUCCUCCAAGGCUAAAUACUCCUGACUGACCGAUAGUGAACCAGUACCGUGAGGGAAAGGCGAAAAGAACCCCGGCGAGGGGAGUGAAAAAGAACCUGAAACCGUGUACGUACAAGCAGUGGGAGCACGCUUAGGCGUGUGACUGCGUACCUUUUGUAUAAUGGGUCAGCGACUUAUAUUCUGUAGCAAGGUUAACCGAAUAGGGGAGCCGAAGGGAAACCGAGUCUUAACUGGGCGUUAAGUUGCAGGGUAUAGACCCGAAACCCGGUGAUCUAGCCAUGGGCAGGUUGAAGGUUGGGUAACACUAACUGGAGGACCGAACCGACUAAUGUUGAAAAAUUAGCGGAUGACUUGUGGCUGGGGGUGAAAGGCCAAUCAAACCGGGAGAUAGCUGGUUCUCCCCGAAAGCUAUUUAGGUAGCGCCUCGUGAAUUCAUCUCCGGGGGUAGAGCACUGUUUCGGCAAGGGGGUCAUCCCGACUUACCAACCCGAUGCAAACUGCGAAUACCGGAGAAUGUUAUCACGGGAGACACACGGCGGGUGCUAACGUCCGUCGUGAAGAGGGAAACAACCCAGACCGCCAGCUAAGGUCCCAAAGUCAUGGUUAAGUGGGAAACGAUGUGGGAAGGCCCAGACAGCCAGGAUGUUGGCUUAGAAGCAGCCAUCAUUUAAAGAAAGCGUAAUAGCUCACUGGUCGAGUCGGCCUGCGCGGAAGAUGUAACGGGGCUAAACCAUGCACCGAAGCUGCGGCAGCGACGCUUAUGCGUUGUUGGGUAGGGGAGCGUUCUGUAAGCCUGCGAAGGUGUGCUGUGAGGCAUGCUGGAGGUAUCAGAAGUGCGAAUGCUGACAUAAGUAACGAUAAAGCGGGUGAAAAGCCCGCUCGCCGGAAGACCAAGGGUUCCUGUCCAACGUUAAUCGGGGCAGGGUGAGUCGACCCCUAAGGCGAGGCCGAAAGGCGUAGUCGAUGGGAAACAGGUUAAUAUUCCUGUACUUGGUGUUACUGCGAAGGGGGGACGGAGAAGGCUAUGUUGGCCGGGCGACGGUUGUCCCGGUUUAAGCGUGUAGGCUGGUUUUCCAGGCAAAUCCGGAAAAUCAAGGCUGAGGCGUGAUGACGAGGCACUACGGUGCUGAAGCAACAAAUGCCCUGCUUCCAGGAAAAGCCUCUAAGCAUCAGGUAACAUCAAAUCGUACCCCAAACCGACACAGGUGGUCAGGUAGAGAAUACCAAGGCGCUUGAGAGAACUCGGGUGAAGGAACUAGGCAAAAUGGUGCCGUAACUUCGGGAGAAGGCACGC